UGAUUUUCAUUCAAUCGGUAUAUUUGAAUA
Molecule: transfer RNA, 30 nt
Filed under: Tonicia forbesii
Lineage: Eukaryota; Metazoa; Mollusca; Polyplacophora; Chitonida; Chitonidae
Description: partial tRNA-Glu
Source: RNAcentral